RNAcentral lists this ribosomal RNA (481 nucleotides) under uncultured bacterium. RNAcentral's name for it is "bacterial SSU rRNA". It matches the Rfam family "Bacterial small subunit ribosomal RNA", at positions 329 to 802 of the family's 1533-position model. The record is from RNAcentral.
GUACUUACUCCUACGGGAGGCAGCAGUAGGGAAUCUUCGGCAAUGGGGGCAACCCUGACCGAGCAACGCCGCGUGAGUGAAGAAGGUUUUCGGAUCGUAAAACUCUGUUGUUAGAGAAGAACGUUAAGUAGAGUGGAAAAUUACUUAAGUGACGGUAUCUAACCAGAAAGGGACGGCUAACUACGUGCCAGCAGCCGCGGUAAUACGUAGGUCCCAAGCGUUGUCCGGAUUUAUUGGGCGUAAAGCGAGCGCAGGUGGUUUCUUAAGUCUGAUGUAAAAGGCAGUGGCUCAACCAUUGUGUGCAUUGGAAACUGGGAGACUUGAGUGCAGGAGAGGAGAGUGGAAUUCCAUGUGUAGCGGUGAAAUGCGUAGAUAUAUGGAGGAACACCGGAGGCGAAAGCGGCUCUCUGGCCUGUAACUGACACUGAGGCUCGAAAGCGUGGGGAGCAAACAGGAUUAGAAACCCCGGUAGUCCAGGCAU